UAGCCUCACCAUGCUUCACUCUUCUUCACUUCUCAACUCUCAUAGAAACCAUUGUGAUCACAGAGAGUAGUAUAUAGAUAUCUGUAGCUAAACUCCAAUGGAGGAGAAUGGAGAAAUUCUCAUAUUCUCAAACAAGAAGAGAAUCAAACAGCAGCAUCAACAUAAAAGUUUGUGCUCACAGCGAAUCAGCGAAUUACCAGAUUUCCACAUUAUGACUCAUCUUCAAAUUCCUAUAACAUUCGUGGAUGCAGCCAGAUGAGGUGGGAUUGUAUAACCAGUGCUUUGUGUUGAUUACGAGAUGCAAUUAAGGAAUCGACAUGAAAGCAUUGGUUAACUUUGGCUUGAGCAUAGCGUCAAAGAGCUUGAAGUCUGCUUCUCGAAAGAAAAACAGUUCAGCGUCUUUGAUCAGAAUGGUUGGUAGUGAUGCUUGCUUUUAGCUUGACCACUGCUUGCUCAUUCACAUGCUCAAGAUAUCCCAAGAAGAUUCCUAGUGCCUGUCAGUCACAAGGAAAAUUACUGACCAUCUAUUUCUUCCAGUGAGCCACACACGAAGCCGGUGUGCAUAAUGAUGCUGACAGGGGAUCAGGAUUCAGGGGGUAUUGACACAGGGAGAUCAGUAAGACAAGACCAUAUUGUUGUUCUGAUGACAGAUGGAAAUCAGUUUCAAAGAAAUCGUUUUUGCCUGAAAACAUGUGAUAUGCAUGACUCUAUUAGGUAUGCUGGGCAAGCCAAAGUAAGGUUGGAGAGAGAGAGAGAGAGAGAUUUUGGAUUUAAGUGUCUUUGAAUUGAGGUAUGUUCAGCAAUUGCUUCAAUAUAGUCACCUAUUUCAUUCUCCAGUUAACUUCUCGUAAAAUCAGCUAUUUUUGCUUAUACACUUGUUAAUCUCCCCAAAGUAGUUUUCAACCUUACUAAAAACUUAGUAAGUGAGCAACAUUCAUAAUUAAAUAAAUAAAUAAAAAUGUAUGGAAAAAAUUGUAAAACAAAUACACGUGUGAAAGUCUUGGCACACAUUUACAACAAAGAAGUUGACAAAAGUGAAAGAAUGAUUUAUUAGAUAUGUUAUAUGCCAUUAAUAAUAAUAAUUUCAAAUUCUUAUAUUCACAAUUUCAAUAUAACAAAUCAACAUAAUUAUUGGUGACAACUGUUUGUAGCUGUAGCAGGAUUUAAAGAUUCACUAAUUCGGUAAGUAUGAAAAUUAAUGUUGAUAUUCUAUAUAUUAGAAAGAUUGUCCUAAAACUGUGUUUUCUAGUUUUUUAGAUGAUUUUCCAUGAAAUAUGUUGGAUAUAUAGUAACUGGAGUGUUAUCAGUGAAAGAGACAUACAUGUAACUUCUAAAUCGAACCUGAUUGCCUUUUUUUUUUUGCCUAUGAUUUUGUGAUUGGAUUGUUGAUGACUAUUGAUUUUAUAAUAAAUCAAGUUUAUGCAUGGCUUGAAUAAGCCUUACGUGUACCACAUGGAAGUAUUACCCAAUGAUAGUCUGUUAGCUCUCGUCUUGUAAUACAAAGCCAAUAGUAUCACCUAGUCCUAUUUGGUUUUAGUUGUCUCCAUAGAAAGUCUCAUAACCAGCUCUAUGUUUUCUCAUGAGCCAGUCCUUGUAAUUUGGCAAAAGAUAACACAUUGAGUGUGUUUGCAGUUUAGGUUUUGUCAGAGUUUUGCACCAGUCUUUUCCUUUCCUUAUUUCCUGAGUGAAACUUUCUAUUCAACACCGUCGCUUGUGGAUGUAGGUCUAGGGUCAAACCAUGUAAAUCUUUGUGGUCCAAUUGCAAUCGUUUAUUCUAUUUUUCUAUUUCUAUUCCACAUAACACAUCUAUAAUUUAUUACACUCACAAAAAUGGUAUCAGAGCCUUCAUUAUCUUAAAUCAAUCUGCCCAAACAAAAUAUAAACAUCAUGCCAUAGGUUCUUAUUCAAUAGAGCUAUGACCAAGUAAAGUUCAUGUCCUAGUAAUAGGGCAUUGUUAUUAUUUGGAUAAUUAGCUUCUUUAUGAAUAUUUUGACUUAAGUUGCAAUAGAUUAUUUUGAGUGCCUGUGACCUUCCCCCCGGUUCUAUCCCUGUUUGAUUUCCCAUAUCAUGCAGGGUUGAACCACAAUUUUUGGCAUAAUAAUACAUAGAGAGAGCUGGUGCCAAAAGGCCACAGGCAUUAAAAAUCAUGUGCAUAUUGCAUAGUUCCUAAUUGUCAAUUCUGGCUCCCAAAACCUACAGGACUUUGCAGGACAUAGAGGCAGGGGUCAGCCAUGAUUUUUGGAGCCAUGCCCUUCAAUGUCUAGUUGGUUUGGAAUAUCAAUCACACCAUAGAAAUAUAUUUGAGCACUAAUAUGAUGACUACUGCAUCAAAGGAACCCAUGUUUUGAUAAAUGCUAUGCACCUAUAAAAAAAAAAUGUUUUGAUGAAUGCUUUGCAAUUGGCCAUAUUAUCUUCUAACUCGGCCCACUUAACUAACUAAAUCAAUGUAGCAUAUUGCUAAACCAUAGCAUUUGGGCAUAUACAUAUAGACAUAUAUGGGAAGUAUAUAGAGUAAGAUAUCAAAGGAACUUAAGAAGGAAACUUAUGAAGAUCCACUGUCAACUUGCUAAGUGUUCAGCAGCCAAUUAGUGGCUUAUUGACUUGUUAAGUGUUCAGCAGCCCAUUAGUGGGUUCUUUAAGUCAUCUGUAUUAUGCCAUGUGUUGAUAGAUCCACUGUCAACUUGCUUGCAUGGAAGGUAGUAGCUCUAUUUUUUUUUUUUUUUUCAUGCAGAGGUACGGUGUCUAUUUUCAUUCAUCAAAGUGUUGGAAAGGACUUGGGAUGUGUUUAUAAUUUUUCAACCUUGGGACUGGAUUUCUUGAUUUGUUCUAGACUUUAUUGAACACAUGCUCAAACCUGAAUUCAUCGUUGAAUAUGUUCUUAAUAUUAUUUAUACUAUAAAAAAUUGUGAAAUAUGUUCUUAAUAUCUAUUCCUAUUGAUUGCUUUACUAUUUCUAAGAAAAUUGUUAUAGAAGUAUGUUGCCAAUUUCAGCAAGCCCAUUCUACAUUCUGAACCAAAUUGACAUAUUCAAGGCUAUCCAACUUUAGUGAGUAUGGGUGUCUUCCCUGGUUAAAUGAUAGGUAUACUUCUACCACUUAUCAUCCUCAGUCACAAGUCUACACUACAUGUUUUCAGACCAACUUGGAUCAUAAGUUGAUAUGUGCCAAUUUAGUUGAGUUUUUUUUUUUUUUUUUUUUUUUUUUUUUUUUUGAGAGCAUGUAUAAAAUAACUUUGAUUACACAAAUCCUGCAUCAAUUGUGAAAAGAAAGCAAGUUUAUGGACAGUUUAGUUGAACAGAAGGGGAAGAAAAAAGAGAAUGUUUCCCCCUAAAGAUACAACUUUAAAUUCUUGUAUAGAG
Long non-coding RNA from Quercus lobata, 3357 nucleotides. RefSeq lists it as uncharacterized. The record is from RefSeq and is a predicted model, not a curated record. Lineage: Eukaryota; Viridiplantae; Streptophyta; Magnoliopsida; Fagales; Fagaceae. The transcript has 5 exons.